Molecule: ribosomal RNA, 324 nt
Filed under: uncultured eukaryote
Lineage: Eukaryota
Description: partial 18S ribosomal RNA
Rfam family: Eukaryotic small subunit ribosomal RNA
Source: RNAcentral
CCCUUAGAUGUCCUGGGCUGCACGCGCGCUACACUGAUGUGUCCAGUAAGCACCUAACCUCUUCCGAAAGGAACGGGUAACCUUUGCAAAGCACAUCGUGAUGGGGAUAGAUUAUUGCAAUUAUUAGUCUUGAACGAGGAAUUCCUAGCAAGCACAAGUCAUCAGCUUGUGUUGAUUACGUCCCUGCCCUUUGUACACACCGCCCGUCGCUCCUACCGAUUGAAUGUUCCGGUGAGCUCUUCGGACUGCGCGGUCUGCAGUUUCUGCGUUCCGUGCGGAAAGUUGCGCAAACCUUAACAUUUAGAGGAAGGAGAAGUCGUAACA